UGGAGGAAACCCUAGAAACUAGGUUUUGCGCACACCCUAAGAAAGAGGACUCUGCUCUCCUUUUUCAUGUCAAGAACUCAUGCCCCAAGUAUCUUCACAUGAAGAACUCUUCUUCUGGUAUCUUACACACACAAAAGAUGAAAUAAAACCUUUUUAUUUCAAUGUGUAAGGAGGUUGGAAUGAAGAAUCCUAGAGAUGUUGGACUCUUCCAUAGUUGUCGCACCUUCAUAAUUUUCACGCCCAAAAGAAAUAUGGGAUGCUAC
This 263-nucleotide long non-coding RNA is filed under the name Elaeis guineensis (African oil palm). RNAcentral's name for it is "long non-coding RNA (EGUI_LNC055998)". The record is from RNAcentral. Lineage: Eukaryota; Viridiplantae; Streptophyta; Magnoliopsida; Arecales; Arecaceae.